This 1459-nucleotide long non-coding RNA is filed under the name Meriones unguiculatus (Mongolian gerbil). RNAcentral's name for it is "lncRNA (ENSMUGG00000025013.1)". The record is from RNAcentral. Lineage: Eukaryota; Metazoa; Chordata; Mammalia; Rodentia; Muridae.
CCAGGGCUGUGGCCACCCCACACCAACCCCGUGCAGCGUGGCGUCCACGUGCCGGGCCCGACUACCUUCCCGAACCGUGGCGCGAGGCUGGAGCCCCGCAGCCCGGCGCUCCCCGCCCUCCGCCGCGGGGCCCCAGAGCCCGGCCGCCGCGUACUCACCCUCGCGGGUGGAGCGGGGCGGGGCGAGGUAGAUCCGCGCGCAGCUCCGAUCCGCUAGGCGCCAGGACUGGCGGGGCAGCACUGGCGCAGCGGCUCCGCUCCGCUCGGCCCGGUCCCUGUCCCGGGAGCGGGGCCGGCCUGGGAGCAGAAACUGAGGUACAGGAGCGAGAGUCCAUCCUUCCUUCCUGUAUCCUCUUAUCCCGUCGUGACAUUAGGUGACCUAAAUUCGCGGGCCUUUUCUCUACCCGAGGUUGGCCCGGGCGCUCCAAACUGCUGCUUCUGCACCCUCCCAUGCAUACCCUGUCUUAGCCUCGGAUAACUUCUCAGUUUCCGUUCUUGUUGAAGGCGCCAGGCAUCCUGUCUCCAGGGGAAACCCCUUCAAGCCUUUAACCCUGAUUCCUUGGGCUCGGGAAUUGCCUGGACUGAAGAACAACAGAGCAGAAACCACCCAGCAGGCCAGUCCUGUCCAAGAGUCAGCACCGUGUUACCAAGUUCCUAGCGCGAACACUCCAGGGCGCCAAGGAGAGUGUUAGAUCCAGGCCCAGUCCCCGAAGCUUACUCUAGUUGCCGAGAAAGAGAGGGCUUGCUCUUCAAGAAUAAGGCGGCACAGGAUGUGACUAAGUGCAAAAUAUGAAUAACCGACAGUGAGCGCCCAGGGUGCCAGUGAACUGGCAGUUUAAAGUCGUCUUUAGGGGAAGCUGGUGGUCUCUCUCACCUUUUGGGAAACUCCAAUUCAAAAGGAACAAAAUGAAGAGUCGGCCUCCAGCUUCUUCCACUAGUGACUGUUUCCACCUAAAUGAUACUUUGCAUAGGCAGAAGCUCUUUGGCAGCUCACCAGAGCCUGGUUUUAUUUGAAUGGUUCCUUCGGUCUGUCAGUCACCUAUUCAUUCAACAAAUAUUUAUUACGUAUCAUGUCGUGGUCUGAGACAAAGCUGGGAAUAGAGAACACAAUGGCUUUGUCUCGGUGUUGGGCAAGUCAAAAAGAAGGAAGAUUCAUAUUUUGCAAAAGAAAACCUGCCCCAGGAGAAACAGCAACAACUGAUUUGUGUCUGGCAAGCCGGUCCAAGAAAGGGCCCAUCCUCUAAACCUGGCUAAGUCUUCACCAAACUAGGUUCAACGACAAGUUCCCACUUCUUGCUAAGAGCCAUGGAAAAAUCCUGUUGUAAAACUGAACGUAAGCAUCAGCUUUUUUUUUUUUUCCUCCAGGAGAUAUGGGUUCUAAUCCUGCCUCUGCCAUUAAAUAACUUUCCUUUUCUUACUGGGAAAAAAAGAUCAAUGGAAAUAACUGAACUAAAUAAAGG